AUGAUCAACACGACGUCUAUUGGGUCCUCUCAUCCCCUAUUGGUUUCUAUUGGGUCCCUAUUGGCUUCUAUUGGGGUCCUCGUGUCCCUAUUGGGGUCCUCCCAACCCUAUUGGCUUCUAUUAGGUCCCUGCUGUGUCCUAUUGGGCCCCUACAUGAUCAACACGAUGUCUAUAGGGUCGUCCCAUCCCCUAUGGCUUCUAUUGGGUCCCUAUUGGCUUCUAUUGGGGUCCUCCCAUCCCUAUUGGGGUCCUCCCAACCCUAUUGGCUUCUGUUGUGCUCCUACUAUGUCUUAUUGGGCCCCAACAUGAUCAACUUGACAUCUAUAGGGUCCUCCCAUCCCCUAUGGCUUCUAUUGGGUCUCUACUGGCUUCUAUUGGGUUCCUAUUGGGGUCCUCCUAACCCUACUGGCUUCUAUAGGGACCCUAUUGGAUUCUAUUGGGUUCUCCCAUCCCUACUGACAUCUAUUGGGCCCCUACAUGAUCAACACGACGUCUAUAGGGUCCUCCCAUCCCUACUGGCUUCUAUUGGGCCCCUAUUGGCUCCUAUUGGGUCCUCCCAUCCCUAUUGGGGUCCUCCCAUCCCCUAUGGCUUCUAUUGGGUCCCUACCUGCUCCUAUUGGGCUGCAUGGAUCCUAUUGGGCCCCUACUGGGUUCUAUUGGGCUCCUAUUGGCUACUCCCAUCCCCUAUUGCUUUCUAUUGGCUCCUAUUGGUUCCUCCCAACCCUAUUGGCCUCUGUUGGGUCCUCCCAACCCUAUUGGCUCCUAUUGGGGUCCUCCCAUCCCUAUUGGCCUCUAUUGGGUCCCUACUGGCUUCUAUUGGGUUCCUAUUGUGUCCUCCCAUCCCCUAUUGGCUUCUAUUGGCUCCUAUUGGCUCCUCCCAACCCUAUUGGCCUCUAUUGGGUCCCUACUGGCUCCUAUUGGGCCCCUAUUGGCUUCUAUUGGCUCCUAUUGGCUCCUCCCAACCCUAUUGGCCUCUAUUGGGCCCCUAUUGGUUCCUAUUGGGCCCCUACUGGCUUCUAUUGGCUCCUAUUGGCUCCUCCCAUCCCUAUGGCUCCUAUUGGCACCUAUUGGUUCCUAUUGGGCCCCUAUUGGUUCCUAUUGGGCCCCUAUUGGCUUCUAUUGGCUCCUAUUGGGUCCUCCCAACCCUAUUGGCCUCUAUUGGGCUCCUAUUGGUUCCUAUUGGGUCCCUACUGGCUUCUAUUGGGCUCCUAUUGGCUCCUCCCAUCCCUAUGGCUCCUAUUGGGCCCCUAUUGGUUCCUAUUGGGCCCCUAUUGGUUCCUAUUGGGCCCCUCAGCUGUGAUCAUAGAAUUGUUGGAGGACCCAAGUGAGGCCUUGGAGGACCUCGAUGGUCAUAGAGUUGUUGGAUGACCCCGAUAACACCAUGGAGGACCUCAGCUGUGAUCAUAGAGUUGUUGGAGGACCAUAGAGAUGCCUUGGAGGACCAUAGAGAUGCCUUGGAGGACCUUGAUGGUGAUCAUAGAGUUGUUGGAGGACCAUAGAGAUGCCUUGGAGGUCCUCGUUGGUGACCAUAGAGUUAUUGGAGGACCCCGGUGACGCCUUGGAGGACCUCGAUGGUGAUCAUAGAGUGCUUGGAGGACCUUGUUGAGGCCUUGGAGGACCUCGAUUGUGAUCAUAGAGUGCUUGGAGGACCAUAGAGAUGCCAUGGAGGACCUCGAUGGCGAUCAUAGAGUUGUUGGAGGACCCCAGUGACACUUUGGAGGACCUCGAUGAUCAUAGAGUUGUUGGAGGACCCC
Molecule: long non-coding RNA, 1754 nt
Filed under: Coturnix japonica (Japanese quail)
Lineage: Eukaryota; Metazoa; Chordata; Aves; Galliformes; Phasianidae
Description: lncRNA (ENSCJPG00005002364.1)
Source: RNAcentral